UAAUACGGAGGGUGCAAGCGUUAUCCGGAUUCACUGGGUUUAAAGGGUGCGUAGGCGGGCAGGUAAGUCAGUGGUGAAAUCCUGGAGCUUAACUCCAGAACUGCCAUUGAUACUAUCUGUCUUGAAUAUUGUGGAGGUAAGCGGAAUAUGUCAUGUAGCGGUGAAAUGCUUAGAUAUGACAUAGAACACCUAUUGCGAAGGCAGCUUACUACGCAUAUAUUGACGCUGAGGCACGAAAGCGUGGGGAUCAAACAGGAUUAGAUACCCUGGUAGUCCACGCCCUAAACGAUGAUUACUCGACAUUAGCGAUACACUGUUAGUGUCUGAGCGAAAGCAUUAAGUAAUCCACCUGGGAAGUACGACCGCAAGGUUGAAACUCAAAUGAAUUGACGGG
This 394-nucleotide ribosomal RNA is filed under the name uncultured bacterium. RNAcentral's name for it is "bacterial SSU rRNA". It matches the Rfam family "Bacterial small subunit ribosomal RNA", at positions 521 to 917 of the family's 1533-position model. The record is from RNAcentral.